Aethalodelphis obliquidens (Pacific white-sided dolphin) is the source of this 3149-nucleotide long non-coding RNA. RefSeq lists it as uncharacterized. NCBI's taxonomy places the organism in Eukaryota, Metazoa, Chordata, Mammalia, Artiodactyla, Delphinidae. The transcript is spliced from 2 exons. The record is from RefSeq and is a predicted model, not a curated record.
AUGUGGGAUCUUCCCGGACCGGGGCACGAACCCGCGUCCCCUGCAUCGGCAGGCGGACUCUCAACCACUGCGCCACCAGGGAAGCCCAGCAGAGGGUUUUUUAAACAAGUUGUUCCUUUACCUGCUGUUCUGUAAAACAAGCUCAAGAAUUGGGCACCAUUUCAAGCUCUUCUAAUGUUCUAGGAUACCUAUAAGUUUGAGGUUCUUUCCUGAGUUGCCCCACAGGUUGUAGCUCUCAGCAGAGUGUUGCAUUUCUACAGCAGAGGUGAGCAAACUAUGACAGUGGUGCAUCUGUGUCUAAGUUUUGCCCGACUCGGGCAGUUUUCUCCAGCGAGAGGUCCUCAGGAGGCACCCAUUUAAGAGUCCAUGUCCCACCAAUAGGCACCAAUCCCUAACAAAGGAUGGUAAGAAACAGUAGCUACUGUUUUGCUCUUGAGCACAAUUUUCUUUCAACCGUUAUUCAGAUGAUGCAGGUGGAAACAACAAACUCACAAAAUCUAUGAUUUUUAACUUAAACUAUAUUGCUUUAAAGAAAAUGUAGGAGCCACUAUUCCCAAGGGAUUGAACACUUCACUACUCCUUCCCACAUGCCCACCAUUGCACUAGGCAUGGAUAGAUACAAAAGAAGGGAACUAUCACACCAGAAUCGAUACAUGCUCUGAAUAUGGGUUUGUCUUCCCUGACUGCUUUGCCUCCAUCUGCACCGUCAUCUGAGGGCUUAUAGGAUGCCUUAUCCACUGGAUAUACCUUAAACCAAAGAACCCAUUUUAUAGUCAAGGAGGUGUGACAAUGAGCUUGUAACCACAGAAUUCACAGCGUUUACUCAUCAGCCAGAAACAACUAGCACGAUGGAACUGUGGAAUGGCACGUUGAAGACUUAGCUAAAUUGCUGAUACAAGAUACAGCACCUUGUGAAGCUGGGGAGCUGUCCUCCAAGAUACAGUAUAUGCAUUGAACCAAUAACAUAUAUAUGGUAUUGUGUCUCCAACAGAAAGACUACAUGGAUACAGAAACCAAGGAGUCAAAAGAGGAGUGGCCCCUAUUAACCAUCAUAACCAGCAACCUAUGUGUGGAAUUUGUGCUUCCUGUCUCCCCAGUCUAGAGUCUGUUGGGACAGCAAAAACUGAUCUCAUAAAACAUCUAGGACAAAAAGGAAAGUCCUGCAGACAGACCCUGUUUGGAUCAAGUGAGCCAGUUCUUUGAACCUGAACAAUGACUGCUGAAUCAGGCAAUGCUACAGAUUUGUCUCCCCAGGCUACCCAGGAGAUGGAAGGCGCAGUGAUAGUGAAAGCGGAGGAGGAAGAGGAAGAAGAUGAGGAAGACCGUUUUCAAACAGAAAGAAAUAGCCUAGAGUUAUCACCCCAAUUUCUUAGUCGUUCCACAACUAUGAAUGAGAGAGCCUUAAUAUCAUCAUAUUUAGUGGUGUAUCGAGUGGCAAAAGAAAAAAUGGCUCACACAGCUGCUGAAAAAUUAUUCUCCCAGCAUGUAUGGAUAUGGUACGUACCAUCUUUGAUGAUAAAUCAGCUGAUAAAUUAAGAACUAUACCUCUUAGUGAUAAUACAAUAUCUCGUCGAAUCUGUACUAUUGCAAAACAUUUAGAAGCAAUGCUUAUGACACGGCUACAGUCUGGUAUAGAUUUUGCAAGCCAACUUGAUGAGAGCACUGAUAUUGCAAGUUGUCCCACACUCUUGGUAUAUGUCAGGUAUGUGUGGCAAGAUGAUUUUAUAGAAGAUCUGUUGUGUUGUUUAAAUUUAAAUUCACAUAUAACUGGAUUAGAUUGAUUCACUGAAUUAGAAAAGUGCAUUGUUGGUCAACAUAAAUUAAGCUGGAAAAAUUGUAAAGGAAUUUCAAGUGAUGGAGCAGCAAAUAUGACUGGGAAACAUAGCAGUUAUUGAAAAAUUGUUAGAAGCCACCCAUAACAACUGUCUUUGGAAUCAUUGUUUUAUUCACCGAGAAGCUUUGGUAUCCAAAGAAAUUCCACCGAGCCUAAUGGAGGUAUUGAAACAUGCAGUGAAAAUUGUUAAUUUUAUUAAAGGAAGCUCAUCGAAUAGCCGACUUCUUGAAAUAUUGUGUCAGAGAUUGGAGUGAACCAUACCCACUUAUUGUUUCAUACAGAAGUUCAUUGGUUGUCUCAAGGAAAAGUAUUGAGCAGAGUAUACGAACUCAGGAAUGAGAUUUACAUUUUUCUCAUUGAAAAGCAAUCGCAUUUGGCAAAUAUUUUUGAAGAUGACAUUUGGGUAACAAAAUUGGCGUAUUUAAGUGACAUUUUUGGCAUUUAAAAUGAAUUAAAUUCGAAGCUACAAGGGAAAAACAAUGAUAUAUUUCAAUAUCUUGAACACGUUCAAGGAUUCCAAAAGGCAUUAUUGUUAUGGCAGGUAAGACUUAAAAGUAAUCGCCCCAGCUACUACAUGUUCCCAACGCUGUUGCAACACAUUGAAGAGAACGUUAUUCAUGAAGACUGCUUAAGAGAAAUAAAAUUAGAGAUAUUAGUACAUCUCACUUCUUUGUCUCAAAUCUUCAAUCGUUACUUUAGAGAAGAGAAAUUUGCACUGUUAAAGGAAGCUGUUUGGAUGAAAGAUCCAUUUGCUUAUCAAACCCCAGAAUCAAUAAUUGAGUUACACUUGGUGCCUGAAGAAGAGAAUGAAUUACUGCAGCUCAGUUCGUCAUUCACACUGAGGAAUUAUUAUAGGACAUUAAGUUUAUCAGCACUUUGGAUUAAGAUUAAAGAUGAAUUUCCACUGCUAAGUAGAAAGAGUAUAUCGCUAUUAUUACCAUUCACAUCUACCUAUUUGUGUGAACUAGGAUUUUCGCUCUUGACACGAUUAAAAACAAAGAAAAGAAAUCAGCUCAACAGUGCACCUGACAUGCGUGUUGCCUUAUCUUCAUGUGUGCCUGACUGGAACGAACUCAUGAACAGACAAGCACACCCAUCACAUUAAGUACAAUCGUUACGAAAUUUUGUUUUUGUACGUUCUUAGGCACUUUUUGUAUAUUGUAUUUAAAUAUUAAUAAAAUUAUGGUUGGGAUUUACUAGGUUUCAUUUUCUUGUAUAGUAAGUAUUGUCUCGUGAAACUUGUUUGUUACAUGAAUAUGUGUGUAUGUGUAUGCAGAGUAAUGAUGUAAAAUAUAUUUCUAUGAAUUGCUGUCAA